This 4120-nucleotide unclassified non-coding RNA is filed under the name Hevea brasiliensis (rubber tree). The record is from RNAcentral. Lineage: Eukaryota; Viridiplantae; Streptophyta; Magnoliopsida; Malpighiales; Euphorbiaceae.
CAAAACACAAGGGCAAACAUUUUACCCUUUGAAUAAGUGAAUAACACCUCAUAAAAGCUUCAUAGAUUAAUUUGCAUUUGUUUUUAUGAUCAAAAUGGCUAUGGAUUAAGCUACACCUUACGAAUGACAUUCUGACACAUCAGUAUCACAAAGAUUAUACAAACCAAAACCAACCUCAUAGGAAACUAUUUAUAUUACAAGCAGCAAUUACAGCAUUGAUAUGGGAAUACGUGCAUAUCAUUCCUAAUCACUUACAACUAAGGUGAAUGCAUGCCAUUAUACAGAGACUCAAUCCAGAAACCCUGUAGCAGGCAAUUUAAGAUUGGUCAAGGAGGUAAAAACUUAAGUUAGCUUGUUAGAAGCUGCUCCUACUGGAAAUGGUAAAUAUCAUCAUUUUCCAUGUCAGCCAGAGAAGUUGCUGCUCCUUCACUUGCCUCGACUAGUUCAGCCUGAAAGAAUAGUUGAAUAACACAUUACUGAGAUUGACCUUCCAAAACUGAUGCACAUCAUCUAGAGAAGAUAAACAUUAUUGCUUUAAAUAAUCAUUUAGUGAUCCAGAUUCUAUCCUGUGCUAAUUGUUGUGACUUCUUUGAGCCGCUUGGUCUUUAGCAGAUAACAAGUGUAAAAACUAAAAGGUAAUUUAAUGCACUGCUUCUUGUUAGUUCCAUAAACUGCAGAAUCAACUGAUGCUCAAGAGACAAGAGGCUUAGACAACACAUUAACCAGUUAGAUCACAGUACAUUUCUCAAAUUUCAUGUCAAUGAAAAUUUGUGAUCUACUUACUUUGGCUUGGUGAUAACGUUCAAGCAUCCGACGAUAUUGUUGACGUGCCUCUAGAGAAUCAACCAUUGACAGCACGCGUGAGACGGCCUCCUCAAUAGCUGCAUCAACUUUUUGUUUGCGGAACACCUUGAGAAUAUCUUCAUCUUCACUUUCAUCAAUAGGCUCUGCCUCAUUCCGGAAACCUCGCAAACCAACCCCUUUACGUCUCCAACGCAGCACAGCCUUCUCUAGAAUUCCAACAGCCCAACAGAAAACCUUGUAGUGCUUCCUAACUUGAUAACCCCUCACAUGAGCCUGUAUCUUCACAACUUUCUGUCGAAACGCUAGAAAAUCCUUGCGACCUUUCCACCCUCUAUAUUUCUUCUGAAUGGAUAAAGCAGCUGAAUUGUAAUCACGUGCAUUGUGAAAGAACAGCUUUGACAUAGCUGAAAGCCCUGGAAUAUCACCGGAAUUGACACCAUAGUCAUCUACAUUAUUAGUAGACACAGCAGCUUCUCUCUGUUGUCGCUUCCUGAAAGAAUGUGCCCUGAAGGCAGCUUGUAUUCGUGCAGCAGCUUGAGCUGCAUUUCGGACUGCAGCCAAGGCAUCUUUAAGUGAAACCUGGUCUUCAUUGACAGCAAAACUCCCCUUUGAGAUGCUAUCUACAGUUAUCUCAGCAUCAACCUCAGCAUAUCCUUUAGAAAGCUCACUCUCUUCUAGUGUAAGGGAUGAAAGAUGGCUUGUUAGUGCCACCUCCGAAAGAUAACCUGCAAGCCCCUUAUGCCCACAGUUGGCCGCAAUGGAUGCUGGAGUUUUGCCAACUGGAUCUUGUGAAGUUGGAUCUGUCACAGCCCCAGCUGAUGCACCAGAAGCUAAAAGGGCUGCAACCAUUUUUUCCCUUCCAAAACGAGCAGCCCAAUGAAGAGCAGUCCAUCCAUUAAUGUCUCGGAAAUUUACAUUGACUCCCUGACUGAGAAUUGGGCUCAAGGCCCACUCAUAGCCCAACCCAGCAACCAUGUGUAUGAUCCCCUGCUCUUUCUUGGACAAGGUACAACUAGGUUGAUCUUGUCUUUCCUGGGACUUGGAAGAAAGCCACUGCUGCAAUUUGUCUUUUAGAAGCUGUUGCAGAAGCCAAUCAACAGUGCCGGUCGAAGUUCCAUUACCAACUAAGAGAGUCUCAAUGAUAGUACCCCAUGAAUCAUUAUCAGUUUUUAAUUUUCUCAGUAGUUGAGUUCCUGUUUCUAUGCUGUCUUCUUUUUGCAAAAAGGAAUCAGACAGAAGCAUCUGCACAAAUCUGACAAGUAACAACAACUCUUCUGGACUCUUAGCAACUUCCAUUUGGGAUAAGCUGCAAUGAGGACAGCUACUCUCAGUUCGAUACUCAAAUUCUCUGACCUCACUGCAAGACUCCCGAUUGCCAGAAGUAAUACAGAAAGUGACCUUUCCUGGAAGAUGGGGAGGAGCUUCACAGCGGAGAACACCUUCUUGAAUGAUUUCAAUGGGAACCUCAGUAUCACCAAACAUGCAAGUCCAUGCACAUUCUGAUGGGUUACAUAGAAAAGAUCCAACAACAAUUACCUUAGUAGCCUCAGAGGUAAAACCCCAUUCUGGGGAUAUUUCGUGGAUUGUAAAUUUUUGCUGUUGUGCAAUGGUCAAACUUGAAUCUGCUUCAAUUGGCACUUCAAGCUGGCCUUGGUCAUAUAGCACUGGAUGGUAGUCAGGAUUGGUUUCAUGAGUUACCAAGACAGGAGAGUACGCAGGAAUUUCAACAUUUUGAACUUCUUGAGGCAGCAAUACAGAAGAAUUUCUGACAUUAGCUCCAUUGAAAUUUAGCCAACGAGAGUACUCAUGCUCUUCAGCUGGUUCCCUCAAAGAAGGCUGUGGCUUUUCCUGGUACUCCACAGAAGAUAACACUCUACAGGGCUCUAACACUUCAUUCCAGGACAUGGAUUCUUUACUCCCAUCUGCAUGCUCCUGUACAGAUUGAUGGUAUUUGCCACUAUCACCUGCAUCCUGAAGGUGAACAAGAUUGUUGAUCUGCAUUUGAAACCCAGGAGGUUCAGCAUAACAUUGCUUAUUCACAAUAUAUUCGGGUCCAUGCAGCAAAUUUUCAUAGUGAUCCUUCUUGGAGAUCUGUUUUUCAAAUUCCAAAAGUUCUGAAUCAUUUUUGGUUCCUUGCUCACUGUAUAAUGGAUCAACUUCUUCGAUGCUGUCCUCAUUCAGACUCAACUGCUCCUCCAGACUUCUCAAAAAUCGACUAACCUCAUCCUUUGCAGAACUAGUAUACCCUGUUGUAGUCUCUAAUCCAUUGUCCUUGGUGCCUAUCUCUGAACUGACUUCUACAGAACUUGGACUGGAUGAAGUCUGACGUGGGUCACAUAAAUCACUAACAGCAGAGGUAGAAUCUCGAUUCUGAGUUGUACGUGAUGUUGACCUUGGGCUGAAAGCAGAAGAGAACUGUGGUGAUGACUGUGCAGCAGAUCCAGGAGUGGACUUUCCCUCGCCAAUCUCUCUAUAAUGAACAAGAACAAUAUGCUGAUAUGCCGGAUCCAGCAUCCAGUAGCUACGUCUCUGAAAAUUUGAGUUUUGUUCUCCAUGUGCAUAAUAACAAUUUAAAGCCUCAACAUUUCCAACCUUAAGUCGCUCAUGUGCUUCCCCAACAGUUCUUCCAUCCUUCUUUUUACGCCAAUUAUGACCAUCUUUGCGAAAGAACCGAAGGACCCUCUUGUUGAAAAGAAACAAUGAUCCACUAGUUGGCUUUUGAGGUGGCUCCUGGGUAAACUGGUACUUGUCAUGGUUUUGCAAUAUAUAGAGCACUUCUGCAGGUUUCAGCCAUCGCCUUUGAGCUUCUUGAAACAGAACAUUAAUAUCAUACCCUGAUUUUGACAUAUCGGAUUCCCAAAAUGAUAGCACCGUACGGAUUGCAGAGAAAUAAAUUCACUUCACUUCACUAGAGCUCACCUGGAGCUCAUAGGCGAACCGGAGACGCUCAUCCUUAAGUUCAAGUAUCGGCAAAAUCUACGAUAAAGCACGAAACAAAGCGAAGCCGCUACAUGUGGAAACCGUCGAGGUCAUGGCCGUAAAGAAGCAUAAUUCCGAGACGAGAGACAAUCCUGUACUGGGUCGGAGUUUAACCGGUUGAAACUCAAAAAAAAAGAUUAUAUACACAAAGAGAGAGAAUCUAUUUAUUUUGAUUCGACUUUGGCCGUACGAUUUGAACGUCUUAACCCGACAGAGUCACAGAACGAAGAAGAAGACGAUGGCUCCAGGUGGGUUUGUGGAAACCAGAAACUGAGAAGCAGCAGGGUUUUAACCUGCUGCUUGCACGUACAAAGGAAGUACUUUAGAAGUGGUGGGG